Molecule: ribosomal RNA, 660 nt
Filed under: uncultured bacterium
Lineage: Bacteria
Description: bacterial SSU rRNA
Rfam family: Bacterial small subunit ribosomal RNA
Source: RNAcentral
AGUGGCGGACGGGUGAGUAACGCGUGAGAAUCUGCCUUGGGGUCGGGGACAACCACUGGAAACGGUGGCUAAUACCGGAUAAGCCGAUUGGUGAAAGAUUUAUUGCCCGAAGAGGAGCUCGCGUCUGAUUAGCUAGUUGGUGAGGUAAGAGCUCACCAAGGCAGCGAUCAGUAGCUGGUCUGAGAGGACGAUCAGCCACACUGGGACUGAGACACGGCCCAGACUCCUACGGGAGGCAGCAGUGGGGAAUUUUCCGCAAUGGGCGAAAGCCUGACGGAGCAAGACCGCGUGAGGGAGGAAGGCUCUUGGGUUGUAAACCUCUUUUCUCAGGGAAGAAGCUCUGACGGUACCUGAGGAAUCAGCCUCGGCUAACUCCGUGCCAGCAGCCGCGGUAAUACGGAGGAGGCAAGCGUUAUCCGGAAUUAUUGGGCGUAAAGCGUCCGCAGGUGGCGAUUCAAGUCUGCUGUCAAAGCACGGGGCUUAACUCCGUAAAGGCAGUGGAAACUGAAUAGCUAGAGUGCCGUAGGGGUAGAGGGAAUUCCCGGUGUAGCGGUGAAAUGCGUAGAGAUCCGGAAGAACAUCGGUGGCGAAAGCGCUCUACUGGACGGCAACUGACACUCAGGGACGAAAGCUAGGGGAGCGAAUGGGAUUAGAUACCCC